This 460-nucleotide ribosomal RNA is filed under the name uncultured bacterium. RNAcentral's name for it is "partial 16S ribosomal RNA". It matches the Rfam family "Bacterial small subunit ribosomal RNA", at positions 338 to 795 of the family's 1533-position model. The record is from RNAcentral.
CCUACGGGGGGCAGCAGUGAGGAAUAUUGGUCAAUGGACGAGAGUCUGAACCAGCCAAGUAGCGUGAAGGAUGACUGCCCUAUGGGUUGUAAACUUCUUUUAUAUGGGAAUAAAAUGUUCCACGUGUGGGAUUUUGUAUGUACCAUAUGAAUAAGGAUCGGCUAACUCCGUGCCAGCAGCCGCGGUAAUACGGAGGAUCCGAGCGUUAUCCGGAUUUAUUGGGUUUAAGGGGAGCGUAGGUGGAUUGUUAAGUCAGUUGUGAAAGUUUGCGGCUCAACCGUAAAAUUGCAGUUGAAACUGGCAGUCUUGAGUACAGUAGAGGUGGGCGGAAUUCGUGGUGUAGCGGUGAAAUGCUUAGAUAACACGAAGAACUCCGAUUGCGAAGGCAGUUCACUGGACUGCAACUGACACUGAGGCUCGAAAGUGUGGGUAUCAAACAGGAUUAGAUACCCCGGUAGUC